This 26-nucleotide non-coding RNA is filed under the name Rattus norvegicus (Norway rat). Lineage: Eukaryota; Metazoa; Chordata; Mammalia; Rodentia; Muridae. The record is from RNAcentral.
UUGUCUACAGAAUUCAGGGUCAAGUC